Limulus polyphemus (Atlantic horseshoe crab) is the source of this 1746-nucleotide long non-coding RNA. RefSeq lists it as uncharacterized. Lineage: Eukaryota; Metazoa; Arthropoda; Merostomata; Xiphosura; Limulidae. The transcript is spliced from 3 exons. The record is from RefSeq and is a predicted model, not a curated record.
AGAUUAGAGAGAUCGUAAGAAAUAAAAUGGAAAGAAGGGAAAGAGGUACAAGAGUUUUUGUUGGGGGCCUUACUGAAGAUAUUCAGAAGGAAGACCUAGAAGAAGCAUUUAGUAAGGUUGGGAAAAUAGUAAGUGUAUGGGUAGCAAGAAAUCCUCCAGGUUUUGGAUUUGUUGAGUUUGAUGAUCGUGAAGAUGCAGAUGAAGCGGUAAAUUCCAUGAAUGGUCAGCUUAUCAAUGAAACAAGAAUCAGAGUAGACAGGGCAAGAGAACGACGGGGUAGAGGAGGUUUUCAAGGAGGGCGAAAUUUUCGUGAAGGAUAUGAUAGGAGGGGAUCAUCUUAUGACUCGUACAGGGGAGACAGUGGCUUUGGUCGAAGAGGUGGAUACAGGUCUAAUGAUGGAGGAAGUUACAGUUACCGCAGCAGAUCUCCAAUGGGCAACAGAUAUUAAUUUUUUUACAAAAUCUUCAAAGACUAAAUUUCCUGACUGAUGUCUUUGCGGGUUAUUUAUUGAGUUCCACUUUUAAUAUCACUAUCAAACAAUUUGUUAUGUUUCUAAGCACUUUUAAGUUUAAUUGAUGAUGAAGUUUCUUACAAAAAAGGUAAGUUGAAUCCUGCACUUUGUUACUAUGAAUGGAACUGCAAGUUAGCAGUGAAUGUAAGGAAUUGCUCAUUUUUUAUGAUGGUUAAAGUGGAAGAAGUUUAUCACUAUUCAAAUGGAAUCUUGUUUCUGAAGAAUGUGGUGCACUUGUUAGGUGUUGCACCCAUCAAGUUUUUAUUGCACUAUAUUUGCCAUACUUGAAAAUUAUCAAAAACACAUAUGAUCUACCAUAUUAAAUACUUUUUUCAUCUUAAAACUGAUAUCCAAUAAAUGUGCUUCUGUGGCAUACAAUUUACAUAACAUAGAUUUCUGAAGGAAUAUAUAGGUUUGUAUUGGCAUAGCUGUUAACUGAAUCAUGGUUCAGUGUUUAAUACUCAUUGGCUGAUUUUCAAGUAUGUAUGCUCCAUGACAGGUUGCCCAAAAACAUCUACUGUUUACAGAUGGCAGACAUUACCUUGAGAACAUUGUCUUAAUCAACCGAAAUAUUAUCACUAGAAGCCAUUUUUUACCAUCUGAUUUUCGUUUUGUGUUGAUGAGUUUCACUGCAUUUCAUGUUUGGAUUUCCAUGCAAAUGGAGAACCAUAGUGACUUUGCUUCAGUAAUCCAAUGCAAUUACUCCUUUCUUCAAACAGUGCCUACUGAAUAGAAGUUCUGCACGAAGCAAUUGAGAAGUAUGAUCAUCACGUCUGUGAAUGUCCUUGUUAUUUUGCAGGGACUAUAUAUUUCUGCGACCAACCGAAGUAUAGUCUCUCACUACCCAUUUAUGAUUUUUUAUUGUCAUUUUAAUUCUGUUCUGUACUCGCUUUCAGUUAUUUUACUAAAAGUUUCUUUGAAAUUCACGGAGCUACUAUUAAAAUAAUAUUCUAAAAUGUUUGUAAUAGUUACAGCAAGUACGAAGCUUGCAAAUGUUUUUUUAAUGUUCAUAUUCAGUGAAAGCAUAUUAGCAUAACUUCAUCUUUACUUGCAUCACUUCUAGAGCAUGUUUUUUGUGGGGCUAGUAUGAAAAGCAAUUCAGUUUGUACUGGUCAUUCAGAGAAGACUGGAUAGAAGUCGUGCAUGUAGACUGAAGGUGGUAUUUUUGAUGUACAUGUAUUAAAAUGUUGGCUUUGAUAUGAGUUAAUAAUAAAAUUCAAAUUCUGUCCACUAA